Peromyscus eremicus (cactus mouse) is the source of this 5247-nucleotide long non-coding RNA. RefSeq lists it as uncharacterized. The record is from RefSeq and is a predicted model, not a curated record. The transcript has 4 exons. NCBI's taxonomy places the organism in Eukaryota, Metazoa, Chordata, Mammalia, Rodentia, Cricetidae.
AGAACUCGGAGGGCAGAGGCAGGAAGGUCACCUGUAAGCGUGACCUGUAAAGCCAGCUUAGUCUAUCACAGCAAAGUCUAAGCCAGCCUAAAUUCUUAGCGGGUAUACACAGUUAAGCCCUGUCUCACACCAGCAAACGAGACAAAAUAUAAAAGCAAACCAUGAGAUCAUAAAGCUUUCAGAAACUCUUUAGGGGCCAAGUACUACCCAAAUGUCCUGAAAGGACCUCUAUCAACAAAAGUGAGCCCUGGAUCGCACAGGGAUGGGUGCACAGCACACUCAGGGUGUCGUCACUCACAGCUGUAAUUCUGUCUGCCUCUGCACGGGGCUCCUGAAUGGGGUGUGGAGCCCAUUAGAUCCAAGAAGUCUCACUCAGGACAAGCAUCUGUGUGUCCUGUGGGGAGCACCUGAGACCCCGUGACCCCAGCAAACAGACUAACUGCAUGACAGCAGGCACAUUCCUGAGGUCUGUCAGGGUCUGGUAUGGGAAGAUUCCUCUUGAACUCACUCCCUGUGGAUCAUGCUAGAACCAGUGUCUCCUGGUAACAGGACAGUGCACCAGGCCAGAGUUCGAGGCUACUCUUACUAGCCACACUCCCUUUCUAAAUGAUCUAGACAUGCCACCCAGGAAAGCUUCUCCAGCAUUCCUCUGCUUCAGCUGUUCUCAGCCAACACCAACAGUUAAAGAAACUGGCUGUGGGAAAGGCUGCUGCUGUCUGCCACCUAGGUUACCUCUGCAUCCUGUUCUCCAGCUGCAAGGCCAGCAAAAUUGCUGUCUGGGGACUCCGCUGGUGUCCCCUGUAAAAGAGCAACAAACCCCAAGGGUACGGUCAUCGCAGGCUCUCCAGUUAAGCUCUUAUGACAGCAAACCCAAGGCCAAGCUUUCCUCAGCACAGUCUAUGGCUUAUAGAAGCCAGAUCUAAGGGAGUGCCAUGCUCCCUGCCAGCACUCCGGCCAGCACCAGGACAUUUAUGAAGCUGCCUGGAACCCAUGUGUGAAGCAGAGAGCAAGGCAGACCGGGCACUUCCUUCCCUUACCUCUCCUUCUGAGGGAGGCCUGCUGGCAGCUAGUGGUGAAGGCAGGGCCUCUCCCUCUUCUUCUGUGCCAGGGGCAAUGUAGGAGCCAGACAUGGAGGACACUGUGUCAGUGCUGAUCUGGGAGGAUGCCAUGGACAUGACUGACUGAGCCAGGCUGCUGCUAGCAGGGUUUAGACUGAAGGUCUUCCAAGAUUCUGCUCCAGCUGUGACAGAGUAGAGGGAGCCUCACCAUGCAGGAAGGUACCUUCUGGGGAGGAGAUGGUAGAAGAGAGCGGAGUCCCUGUGCAAGACGACUGGUCAAUAGCCCCUGAAGACGACAGGGUAAGGUUCUCACUCUCUGGAGUCACAUCACGUCCCUGGGGGGGAGGGAUACAAUGGGACAUGAAACCAGCACAAACCCAGCAUAUGGGCAGGAGGGUAAGGGCAGAGCUGGGUAGGGAUGCAGAGGAAACAGACACCAGGAAGGACACAGUGACAGGAGAGGCAGUGCUGGCUUCUGUCAGCACUCUUUUUCAGCCAGGGCCUGGAGUGACUUGGUCCCAGGGGAGUGCACACUUCAGUCAGCACCUGCCUGAGGCCCAGCAUCUGGUGGAGCACACAAAAGCUGCAGCUCCAAUGACACAGGUGACCCAGCAGCUGUCACGGGGGACAUCCUGGGAGUAUGACCAGCUUUCCUUUAGAAGGGAAAGAACAUGAAACCAGCAGGACCCUCACUGCCUUCAGGACCCCUCCAAAGGUAUGUCGGAGCGCCUGCUCAGCAGGUCUGAAACCAACUCCACCUCUGCUUUCGGCCCACCAAUCCCCUGGGCACAGCCUUGCCAUCCUGGCUGGACGGAAAGGUGCAAGGAUGGCUCUCCAGGUCCCAGGCAGGCUUCUUUCAUCUUAGCUCAGGCCUACACUACUGAGGCUUUUCCUGGCUCUGUUGGCCUCCUACAUGUGACUAUCAGAAGCCUUUGCAAGACAGAGCUCUCACUGUAUCUCUUGGCCUGCUCCAAGCUUCCUCUGAAUGUUUCCUCCCUUUCUUGUCUAAAAACUGUCAAGGUCCAGCCAAAUGCUACCCUCUACAACAGUUUUUCUGAUGUCCUCCACUAAAGGAAACCGCACAUUACGCUGCAUGGUACUUCAUGGUUUCUUCUGAGGACUCUGUCUGCCCCCUCUCUCUUAAGAUAGCCUCAACAGCAGGCUGGCACUUAACUUGAUAUGUAGUUCGGGCUGGCCUCAAACUUGUGACCCCUGCUUUAGCCUCCAGUGCUGGGACUACAGGCAACCCGUAAUCCUACUUAGCAUGUGGGAGGUGAGGCAGGAGGAUCUGGAAUUCAAGGUCAUCUUCAGCAAUACAGUGAAUUCAUGGCAAGCCUGAACUACGUGAGACCCUAAGUCAACCACCCUGCCAUGUAUUCCCUCAAGAAGUACUUACUGGGCAGCAACAAUGAACAAAUGCUCUCUCAACUAGACAUGAACUCCUGAGGAUGGAACACUUUCCCAUCUCUGAAGGCCUUUGGGACCCAGUUUGCUGCCCUGGACAGUGCAUGGCUCAUAAGGUCUCUCAGUUCUAGACCAGAUGGGGCCAGGAGCUAACAGGCUGCAGACACAGGGGAACUUCCGAAUCUCAGGAAACCUCUGCAGCUACCACCUUGUAAGGUGCUGGAAGGCCUAGUGAACUGGUAAAAGCGGGAGGACCAACGAGCCGUGCAGGCAGAUGCCUGGUGCCAGUACCCGGGAGGGAGAAGAAAGCCAGUUACCUCUUCAGGAUGCUGGGCUGACAGCCUCUGAGAGAGCUGAGUCUCUGACUCACUGCAAGAGUGCUCAUCUUCCUCUUCAUGUAGCACAGAAGAAUUCUGGGAAACGGAUCUGGAAAAGCACAGAGAAAAAGCAGCUGAAUGCACUGUCCACUCAGGAGAUCAGUGCUGGCCCGAUCUCUCCUUGCUCAGGCCACACAGGGGAGCACUGGAGGAGCCAGGCCAGCUCUCGGGAGCAGGCGAGAGGUGUACUGCAGCGGGACAGAGACUUCUCUGCUCUAGCUCCUCAACUUUGAGAAAAACACUAGCAACCCCCUCGCCCGUUUCAAUUCUUUGAUCUGUGAGAUAUCCUCCUUUGCCACAGAAACUGUGUUAUGCUUGUGUCCUAUGGAUUUAAAUGAUCAGGAUAUAGGACCCUUUGGUUUCUCUGACUCCAGAUUAAACCAGGGCCCCAGGGAUUCUGUCUAUAAUACACGACCCUGAACAGACACUUACUUCUGUCUCUGGGGAAAACUGCCCCUCACUCACCACUGCCUCUCAGGCCUUCUGUGAGUGAGCAGCACUGGGGACCGGGAGAGCUGGACCCAGGCUGUGACUGACAAUGCUGCGGAGGCAAGGAUGGUUUGGAAAGCUUUCAAAGACGACCCAGGGAACAGUGGUGGGCAUCAACUACUUACUUGGACAGACUCUUUUUGAGUUUGAGUCCUUGGUUGCUGCAAUCAGACAGGCGGUCAAGAGGGGACAGUGUCCUUACGGGGGGCAGAUGGCCAUCAGUGCCAUAUGAUGGUAGCAUUCCUGAAAGGUGGCCAUCUCCAAGGACAUGAAGUGGAGGAACUGCUGGGGAUGGGGUGAGGGGUCCAUUGAGGGCCUCCAGGAGAGACACCACUUCGUAGCCUGGUGGAAUAUUCUCUGAGGACUACAAGAAUCAGAGAUAGGCCAAAAAUUAGGAACUUUUUGUAUUAAGGUAUGAUCAUGCUUCCUACUGGUCAUUAAAAGAUGAGUUUUGUUUUUAGGCAUCUGCUCUGGUAAGAAAAGCUUUGGUUAAACAUAAAGAAGGUAAAGUGUUGAAGAGCCACAGGUCCUAAAUAAUUCUUCACAAAGUCUAUGUUUCUGAUGGUAAUAGAAAUAAAUGCUCACUAUAGGAAGUUUGUAAAAUACAUCAAAGAUGAAAAAAAUUACCAAUAACCAAAUCACCCAAAGUAACUUUUGGUGGCAAUCUAGUGUAUUUUUCUAAUUAUUUUAUUUCUAUUAUUUAUGAUUUAUUGCUAAUCUAUCAAUGACAGUUCUAGGGGCUCGAGAGACGGCUCAGUAGUAAGGGGCACUUGCUGCUCUUGCAGAGGACCUGAGCUCAGAUCCCAGCACCCACAUCAGUAGCUCACAAUCAUCUGUGACUCCAGCUCCAGGGCCCUAAUGCUGCCUUCUGACCUCCAAGAGCAUCUGCACUCACAUGUGCACACACACACAUAUACAUAAAUAAAAUAAAAAUAACAAUUCUGAAUCUUGCUUGUUUAAUUAAACAAAUAUCCCCCCCUCCUUUCUUUUUUGGUUUUUCAAGACAGGGUUUCUGUGUGCAGCCCUGGCUGUCUGGGAACUCACUCUAGUCCAGGCUGGCCUCAAACUCAGAGAUCUGCCUGCCUCUGCUGGGAUUAAAGGUGUAUACCACCAUGGCCCAGUUCCUUUUUUCUUAAGACAGGUUUUCAUGAAGCCCAGUAUAACCCCAAACUCACUAUGUCCUCCUACCUCCAUCUUCCAAGUGCUGGGAUUACAGGCACACACCGGUACUCCCAGCUUCCCCUGUAGCUGGAAACUUGUGAUUCAUCCCUGCAGAGACACUGUAAGUUUUCUGACGGCCCGUGCUGGGUGCAGCGUGUUCAACAUGUCCUACUGUAACAGCACUCCAAGGAACAUCCUUGUACACAAAUAUUUUGUCAGGUUGAGGGGUGGCUCAGUGGUAGGAUGCUUGCCUAGCCCAUGAGGCCACGGGUUCCAUCCUAGGUGUCACCAGCACAACAAACCCCUUCUCUCUCUGGUCACUUUCUCAGUAUUAAGUCACAACUUACCAUGUAUAAAUGUUUUUCAUUUUUUGAAGAGCUCAACUAAUUUUUUCUGUGUGUGUGGUGUGUAUCCAUACGUGUGUGGGUAUGUGCUCUGAAUCCACAUGCAGAGGCUAGAGGAGGAUGCCAGAUGUCUUCCUUUGUCUCUUUCCACCUUGUAUUUGGAGACAGUCUCAGUAACCCUGAGGCUUACCAUUUUGGAUAGGUUGUCUGACUAGUGGGCUCUCAGGAUGCACCUGUCUCCGCCCCACAAUACUGGAGUUAUAGCUGUGCACAUGAGACCGUGCGCAGCCUUUAUGUGGGUGCUGAUAUCUGCAUUAAGUCCUCUUGCUUUCACAGUAAAUUAAAGAUACCCAUUCCAGGAGCCCCCCCCCCCAAAAAAAAAAAACCAAACUGAAUGUUCUCUAUUGCUUGUUA